UGCUUGCAAAUCAACUCUGCUGCAUGCGUUCACAAGUUUCAUAAAGAUUGCAUGCUUUCUGUUUUCAAUACAAAUUGUAUUUUUUUUUCAUACCCAUCCUUGCUUUUUAUUUUUUAAUUUUUGUUUCCCUUUUCUUGGUUGGAUGCCUGUGUGUGUUUAUUCCAAAUCCCUGUCCAGUCCUGGAGUUUGAACUACGGAAAGCCAAGGAGACCAUUCAGGCCCUCCGAGCCAACCUGACAAAGGCCGCAGAACAUGAAGUUCCUUUACAGGAACGAAAAAAUUACAAAUCAAGUCCUGAAAUUCAGGAGCCAAUCAAACCUCUUGAAAAGAGAGCUCUAAACUUCUUAGUCAAUGAAUUUUUAUUGAAGAAUAACUAUAAGCUUACAUCAAUAACCUUUUCAGAUGAAAACGAUGAUCAGGAUUUUGAAUUAUGGGAUGAUGUAGGAUUAAACAUUCCAAAACCUCCAGACUUAUUGCAACUCUACCGGGAUUUUGGAAAUCAUCAAGUAACUGGAAAAGAUCUUGUAGAUGUGGCCAGUGGAGUAGAAGAAGAUGAAUUAGAGGCCCUUACACCAAUUAUA
Molecule: small RNA, 581 nt
Filed under: Pan troglodytes (chimpanzee)
Lineage: Eukaryota; Metazoa; Chordata; Mammalia; Primates; Hominidae
Description: retained intron
Source: RNAcentral